GGUAAAGUUGGAAAGCUAGAGCUGCUUGUGCAUUUGCAGCCUGUAAAGUAGAGUGCACGACUACACAGUAAGAAAAGAGCCAGCUUUAAGUUGCAGGGAUUUUGAUGUAUACAUUUGGACGAUCAACCACUUUGUGCAACCAUUUUGCAGCAUCAACAGUUCCUUGGGUAUCAUCAGCAAGCAGGGGUGAAACCUCAACAGAGACAUAACCAUCACCACCAUCUGUUUCAUCGUAAAUUGGCUCAAAUAGUCUGCAAGCAUCUUGAAUAUCUUUCACGACAAGUUCCCAAUAUGCGCUUACAAUGUCUUUUCCUCCCUGUACAAGUUCCCUGCAGUUAAAGUAUCGGUCAUUAAAUAGCUCGGUGCUAACAGGCAGAGGCAUAAACUAACAAAGUACUGUACUUGCUCCACACAUGUAUGUAAGUAUGUUUCGAAGCUUUGAGAACGUUUAAAUUCACAUAUUAGCUAGGCGAUGUCAUCUGACUUUCAGAUUACUAUAUGAAUUGGGGAGGCUUAUGGAUGUGUAAUUGGAAAGUGACUAUGUGGUGCUGAACAACGAGAUUCAUAUUAUUGAUUUUAUAAUGCUAUAAUAAAAUGGGCUGCUGGAUGUAGUAUUUGGAUU
This is a long non-coding RNA of Erigeron canadensis, 622 nucleotides long. RefSeq lists it as uncharacterized. The transcript has 2 exons. The record is from RefSeq and is a predicted model, not a curated record. NCBI's taxonomy places the organism in Eukaryota, Viridiplantae, Streptophyta, Magnoliopsida, Asterales, Asteraceae.